RNAcentral lists this ribosomal RNA (871 nucleotides) under uncultured bacterium. RNAcentral's name for it is "bacterial SSU rRNA". It matches the Rfam family "Bacterial small subunit ribosomal RNA", at positions 8 to 916 of the family's 1533-position model. The record is from RNAcentral.
AGAGUUUGAUCAUGGCUCAGAACGAACGCUGGCGGCAGGCCUAACACAUGCAAGUCGAACGUGAAGCCACCUUCGGGUGGUGGAAAGUGGCAGACGGGUGAGUAACGCGUGGGAACGUGCCUUUCGGUUCGGGAUAACCCAGGGAAACUUGGGCUAAUACCGGAUACGCCCUCCGGGGGAAAGAUUCAUUGCCGAAAGAUCGGCCCGCGUCGGAUUAGCUAGUUGGUGGGGUAAAAGCCUACCAAGGCGACGAUCCGUAGCUGGUCUGAGAGGAUGACCAGCCACACUGGGACUGAGACACGGCCCAGACUCCUACGGGAGGCAGCAGUGGGGAAUAUUGGACAAUGGGCGCAAGCCUGAUCCAGCCAUGCCGCGUGGGUGAAGAAGGCCCUAGGGUUGUAAACCCCUUUCAGCGGGGAAGAUAAUGACGGUACCCGCAGAAGAAGCCCCGGCUAACUCCGUGCCAGCAGCCGCGGUAAUACGGAGGGGGCUAGCGUUGUUCGGAAUUACUGGGCGUAAAGCGCGCGUAGGCGGACCUGCAAGUCGGGGGUGAAAGCCCGAGGCUCAACCUCGGAACUGCCUUCGAUACUGCGGGUCUCGAGUCCGGGAGAGGUGAGUGGAAUUCCUAGUGUAGAGGUGAAAUUCGUAGAUAUUAGGAAGAACACCAGUGGCGAAGGCGGCUCACUGGCCCGGUACUGACGCUGAGGCGCGAAAGCGUGGGGAGCAAACAGGAUUAGAUACCCUAGUAGUCCACGCCGUAAACUAUGGGUGCUAGCCGUCGGUCGGCAUGCCGGUCGGUGGCGCAGCCAACGCAUUAAGCACCCCGCCUGGGGAGUACGGUCGCAAGAUUAAAACUCAAAUGAAUUGACGG